CCCUUAGAUGUUCUGGGCUGCACGCGUGCUACAAUGGCGCUUGCAACAAGUCUUGCCAACCCGAUAGGGUGAGCGGAUCUUUGAAGAGGCGUCGUGAUCGGGACAGUUGAUUGCAAUUAUUCGACUCGAACGAGGAAUUCCUUGUAAUCGCGAUUCAUCAUAUCGCGCUGAAUACGUCCCUGCCCUUUGUACACACCGCCCGUCGCUCCUACCGAUUGAGCGAUCCGGUGAAUGUUUUGGACUGGCGACAGAAGCGGUUCGCUCCUGACACUACGAAAUUUUGUAAACCUUAUCGCUUAGAGGAAGGAAAAGUCGUAACA
RNAcentral lists this ribosomal RNA (320 nucleotides) under uncultured eukaryote. RNAcentral describes it as "partial 18S ribosomal RNA". It matches the Rfam family "Eukaryotic small subunit ribosomal RNA", at positions 1470 to 1796 of the family's 1831-position model. The record is from RNAcentral.